Non-coding RNA from Cordylochernes scorpioides, 73 nucleotides. The record is from the annotation of a GenBank genome assembly. Lineage: Eukaryota; Metazoa; Arthropoda; Arachnida; Pseudoscorpiones; Chernetidae.
UCCAGGGUAGCCUAGUGGACAUGGCAUCUGCCCGGUAAGCGGAACACUGUGGGUUCGAUUCCCAUCCUUGGAG